RNAcentral lists this ribosomal RNA (903 nucleotides) under Leuconostoc sp. C9I23. Its description in RNAcentral is "bacterial SSU rRNA". It matches the Rfam family "Bacterial small subunit ribosomal RNA", at positions 97 to 982 of the family's 1533-position model. Lineage: Bacteria; Bacillati; Bacillota; Bacilli; Lactobacillales; Lactobacillaceae. The record is from RNAcentral.
GGCGAACGGGUGAGUAACACGUGGAUAACCUGCCUCAAGGCUGGGGAUAACAUUUGGAAACAGAUGCUAAUACCGAAUAAAACUUAGUAUCGCAUGAUACAAAGUUGAAAGGCGCUACGGCGUCACCUAGAGAUGGGUCCGCGGUGCAUUAGUUAGUUGGUGGGGUAAAGGCCUACCAAGACAAUGAUGCAUAGCCGAGUUGAGAGACUGAUCGGCCACUUUGGGACUGAGACACGGCCCAAACUCCUACGGGAGGCUGCAGUAGGGAAUCUUCCACAAUGGGCGAAAGCCUGAUGGAGCAACGCCGCGUGUGUGAUGAAGGCUUUAGGGUCGUAAAGCACUGUUGUAUGGGAAGAAAUGCUAGAAUAGGGAAUGAUUCUAGUUCGACGGUACCAUACCAGAAAGGGACGGCUAAAUACGUGCCAGCAGCCGCGGUAAUACGUAUGUCCCGAGCGUUAUCCGGAUUUAUUGGGCGUAAAGCGAGCGCAGACGGUUGAUUAAGUCUGAUGUGAAAGCCCGGAGCUCAACUCCGGAAUGGCAUUGGAAACUGGUUAACUUGAGUGUUGUAGAGGUAAGUGGAACUCCAUGUGUAGCGGUGGAAUGCGUAGAUAUAUGGAAGAACACCAGUGGCGAAGGCGGCUUAGUGGACAACAACUGACGUUGAGGCUCGAAAGUGUGGGUAGCAAACAGGAUUAGAUACCCUGGUAGUCCACACCCGUAAACGAUGAAUACUAGGGUGUUAGGAGGUUUCCGCCUCUUAGUGCCGAAGCUAACGCAUUAAGUAUUCUCGCCUGGGGAGUACGACCGCACAGGUUGAAACUCAAAAGGAAUUGACGGGGACCCGCACAAGCGGUGGAGCAUGUGGUUUAAUUCGAAGCAACGCGAAGAACCUUACCAGGUCUU